CCAGACUCCUACGGGAGGCAGCAGUGGGGGAUAUUGCACAAUGGGGGGAACCCUGAUGCAGCGACGCCGCGUGAAGGAAGAAGUAUCUCGGUAUGUAAACUUCUAUCAGCAGGGAAGAAAAUGACGGUACCUGACUAAGAAGCCCCGGCUCACUACGUGCCAGCAGCCGCGGUAAUACGUAGGGGGCAAGCGUUAUCCGGAUUUACUGGGUGUAAAGGGAGCGCAGGCGGCACGGCAAGCCUGAUGUGAAAGCCCGCGGCCCAACCGCGGGACUGCAUUGGGAACUACCGGGCUGGAGUGCCGGAGAGGUAGGCGGAAUUCCUAGUGUAGCGGUGAAAUGCGUAGAUAUUAGGAGGAACACCAGUGGCGAAGGCGGCCUACUGGACGGUGACUGACGCUGAGGCCCGAAAGCGUGGGGAGCAAACAGGAUUAGAUACCCCUGUAC
This 445-nucleotide ribosomal RNA is filed under the name uncultured bacterium. RNAcentral's name for it is "bacterial SSU rRNA". It matches the Rfam family "Bacterial small subunit ribosomal RNA", at positions 331 to 793 of the family's 1533-position model. The record is from RNAcentral.